GUGCCAGCAGCCGCGGUAAUACGGAGGGUGCAAACGUUGCUCGGAAUCAUUGGGCGUAAAGCGCACGUAGGCGGCCGACUAAGUCGGAUGUGAAAGCCCAGGGCUCAACCCUGGAAGUGCAUUCGAAACUGACCGGCUUGAAUAUGGAAGAGGGUCGCGGAAUUCCCGGUGUAGAGGUGAAAUUCGUAGAUAUCGGGAGGAACACCAGUGGCGAAGGCGGCGACCUGGGCCAAUAUUGACGCUGAGGUGCGAAAGCGUGGGGAGCAAACAGGAUUAGAAACCCCUGUAGUCC
RNAcentral lists this ribosomal RNA (292 nucleotides) under uncultured bacterium. RNAcentral's name for it is "partial 16S ribosomal RNA". It matches the Rfam family "Bacterial small subunit ribosomal RNA", at positions 505 to 796 of the family's 1533-position model. The record is from RNAcentral.